RNAcentral lists this ribosomal RNA (129 nucleotides) under Mandrillus leucophaeus (drill). The record is from RNAcentral. Lineage: Eukaryota; Metazoa; Chordata; Mammalia; Primates; Cercopithecidae.
AUCUAUGGCCAUACCACCAUGAACAUGCCCGAUCAUGCCCGAUCUCAUGAUCUCGGAAGCUAAGCAGGGUUGGGCCUGAUUAGUACUUGAAUGGGAGUUCUUGUUCCAUGUCCAGCUAUGCUAAAGUUG